UACGUAGGGUGCAAGCGUUAAUCGGAAUUACUGGGCGUGAAGCGUGCGCAGGCGGUUCUAUAAGACAGAUGUGAAAUCCCCGGGCUCAACCUGGGAACUGCAUUUGUGACUGUAGAGCUGGAGUACGGUAGAGGGGGAUGGAAUUCCGCGUGUAGCAGUGAAAUGCGUAGAUAUGCGGAGGAACACCGAUGGCGAAGGCAGCCCCCUGGGAUAACACUGACGCUCAUGCACGAAAGCGUGGGGAGCAAACAGG
This 253-nucleotide ribosomal RNA is filed under the name uncultured bacterium. RNAcentral's name for it is "partial 16S ribosomal RNA". It matches the Rfam family "Bacterial small subunit ribosomal RNA", at positions 524 to 776 of the family's 1533-position model. The record is from RNAcentral.